Molecule: ribosomal RNA, 426 nt
Filed under: uncultured beta proteobacterium
Lineage: Bacteria; Pseudomonadati; Pseudomonadota; Betaproteobacteria
Description: bacterial SSU rRNA
Rfam family: Bacterial small subunit ribosomal RNA
Source: RNAcentral
GGGGAAUUUUGGACAAUGGGCGCAAGCCUGAUCCAGCAAUGCCGCGUGCAGGAUGAAGGCCUUCGGGUUGUAAACUGCUUUUGUACGGAACGAAAAGCCUCUCUCUAAUACAGGGGGGUGAUGACGGUACCCGCAUAAGAAGCACCGGCUAACUACGUGCCAGCAGCCGCGGUAAUACGUAGGGUGCGAGCGUUAAUCGGAAUUACUGGGCGUAAAGCGUGCGCAGGCGGUUUCGUAAGACAGACGUGAAAUCCCCGGGCUCAACCUGGGAACUGCGUUUGUGACUGCGAGGCUAGAGUACGGCAGAGGGGGGUAGAAUUCCACGUGUAGCAGUGAAAUGCGUAGAGAUGUGGAGGAAUACCGAUGGCGAAGGCAAUCCCCUGGGCCUGCACUGACGCUCAUGCACGAAAGCGUGGGGAGCAAACA